Molecule: ribosomal RNA, 1255 nt
Filed under: metagenome
Description: bacterial LSU rRNA
Rfam family: Bacterial large subunit ribosomal RNA
Source: RNAcentral
UAUUCUAAGGCGCUUGAGAGAACUCAGGAGAAGGAACUCGGCAAAUUGACACCGUAACUUCGGAAGAAGGUGUGCCUUUAGUAGGUGAACCUGUACAAGGGGAGCCCAAUGAGGUUGCAAAAAUCGGUGGCUGCGACUGUUUAAUAAAAACACAGCACUCUGCAAACACGAAAGUGGACGUAUAGGGUGUGACGCCUGCCCGGUGCUGGAAGAUUAAAUGAUGGGGUGCAAGCUCUUGAUUGAAGUCCCAGUAAACGGCGGCCGUAACAAUAACGGUCCUAAGGUAGCGAAAUUCCUUGUCGGGUAAGUUCCGACCUGCGCGAAUGGCGUAACGAUGGCCACACUGUCUCCUCCUGAGACUCAGCGAAGUUGAAAUGUUUGUGAUGAUGCAAUCUCCCCGCGGAAAGACGGAAAGACCCCAUGAACCUUUACUGUAGCUUUGUAUUGGACUUUGAACAGAUCUGUGUAGGAUAGGUGGGAGGCUUUGAAGUGUGGUCGCUAGAUCGCAUGGAGCCAACGUUGAAAUACCACCCUGGUGUGUUUGAGGUUCUAACCUAGGCCCGUAAUCCGGGUCGGGGACAGUGCAUGGUAGGCAGUUUGACUGGGGCGGUCUCCUCCCAAAGCGUAACGGAGGAGUUCGAAGGUACGCUAGGUACGGUCGGACAUCGUGCUAAUAGUGCAAUGGCAUAAGCGUGCUUAACUGCGAGACUGACAAGUCGAGCAGAUGCGAAAGCAGGACAUAGUGAUCCGGUGGUUCUGUAUGGAAGGGCCAUCGCUCAACGGAUAAAAGGUACUCUGGGGAUAACAGGCUGAUACCGCCCAAGAGUUCAUAUCGACGGCGGUGUUUGGCACCUCGAUGUCGGCUCAUCUCAUCCUGGGGCUGUAGCCGGUCCCAAGGGUAUGGCUGUUCGCCAUUUAAAGAGGUACGUGAGCUGGGUUUAAAACGUCGUGAGACAGUUUGGUCCCUAUCUUCCGUGGGCGCUGCAGAUUUGAGGAAGCCUGCUCCUAGUACGAGAGGACCGGAGUGGACACACCUCUGGUGUAUCGGUUGUCACGCCAGUGGCAUUGCCGAGUAGCUAUGUGUGGAAGAGAUAACCGCUGAAAGCAUCUAAGCGGGAAACUCGUUUCAAGAUGAGAUCUGCCGGGGCCUUGAGCCCCCUAAAGAGUCGUUCAAGACCAGGACGUUGAUAGGUCGGGUGUGGAAGCGCAGUAAUGCGUUAAGCUAACCGAUACUAAUUGCUCGUGCGGCUUGAGC